Austrofundulus limnaeus is the source of this 1485-nucleotide long non-coding RNA. RefSeq lists it as uncharacterized. NCBI's taxonomy places the organism in Eukaryota, Metazoa, Chordata, Actinopteri, Cyprinodontiformes, Rivulidae. The transcript is spliced from 2 exons. The record is from RefSeq and is a predicted model, not a curated record.
UUUCUACAUAAUAAGCCAUUAUUACAAAAUGAGGUCUUACAAGCAUGACUCUCUGGUACAACCACACCCUAUUUUAGGUUAUGUAACACCGGAUAAGUUAUGGUUAUUUUUGAGUUUCCAAUCAUAGUUUGGUCUUAGAGGCCAUAUUGACCAAGAAUGACUCCUAAAAUGAAUCAGUGGUAAGUGCAUCCAGUGAUAACUUUAGGGCUGCACCAAACAAUUAUUUUGAUAGUCGAUUAAUCUGUUAUUUUUUCGAUUAAUCGAUUGGUUGAUUAGUAGUCAAGAAUACUACACCCUCCAUCCCCCCACAAGAAGCAUCCUGUGGGCACACUUACUGUUCCAGCUCCAGUAAACAUCUCAUCUCACCUGCUCACACCUGAGAAUGUCACUGUUAUCCAGUCUCUUCCUUAACAAGUUCCCAUAGCAAAUUAUAAUAAUGACCUAUUAAACCUACCUUAAUAGCUUAAUCACAUGUACAGUAUUUCUAACAUUAAUUUGUGAGAUUAUAACAAAAAUGAAAUUAAAUACAUAAUAAACUGCAAGUAGUCUUUUAAACAAACAGUUAAUGCACAAAUAACUCUAAAUAGCAGCCUCCUCCCCAGCAUGAGGGGCUGUUAACCGGCCCUGCUGCAAAUCCAAAAUAAACUGAAGAACUUUGUUUGAAGAAACAUUCAGGUGCAUCAAAGUAAAAAAUAAUCAAUCCUGUUUGAAAAUCUUGCUGGAUCUGGCCAUCCAAAAGUUCAAAUAAGACGUAAGUAACCAUUUCAAUAAAACAGGAAAAGAGGAGACAGGAUGCAUUAGUAUAAUUCAGUGACUGUCAUGAAUUCGGUUUUUCAAGUCACGUCACAGCCAUGUUUCACUCAUUGCUCUACCCCUCCCGUCACAGAAACUCUUAUUAUCACUCAUGCUUCUCACCUGUGUCUCCAAGUAUAUAAGCUUCUCUCCUCCACUAGUCCAGCGCCUGAUUAUUGAACGGUUCGCCAAGUAAAUGUCUAGCAUUCCAAAGCCACGUCUCGUCUUCCUGGUCACGGUCCCUUUUCUGGUUUUUGGUCUCACGUCUUCUGCCUUGUCCCUGAAUGGAACUUCUUCUGAUUCUGACUUCCUGGUUUUGACCCCCAACUGCUCCCACGGAUUUUUGCCUCCAGCCCGAGUCCUUGUCGGAUACCUCCAGUCAUCUGUCGCCCGGCUCUCGACCACUGCUUCGGCUCAUCGACAAAGAGUUAAGUCCGCCCCUCUUAACACCAGUCUGCCUUCUGCCUUCCUGUGUAUGACCCCGUUCAGUCCUCAGAAUUCGUCCAUGCUCCAGCGCUUCGCUUCGUUUCAACAACACGGAAAUCUCCGCAAGACGUUCCCACGUCUCCCUCGUCUGGUUACGUCAUUCAAGGGAUUCCCCCGGAAGUCCCGCUCUCUAAAAAGAGCUCCAGAUUCCCGUGGCGCUUGGUUCCAAAUCCAGCUGUACAUUUUUUAAUAAAAUUGUUAAAGCUU